GAUGAACGCUAGCGGCAGGCCUAAUACAUGCAAGUCGAACGGGAUCUAGAUCAAAGCUUGCUUUGGUCUGGUGAGAGUGGCGCACGGGUGCGUAACGCGUGAGCAACCUACCCUUGUCAGGGGGAUAGCCCGGCGAAAGUCGGAUUAAUACCGCAUGACAUCAUUGAGAGGCAUCUUUCGAUGAUCAAAGAUUUAUCGGACAAGGAUGGGCUCGCGUGACAUUAGCUCGUUGGUAAGGUAACGGCUUACCAAGGCUGCGAUGUCUAGGGGCUCUGAGAGGAGAAUCCCCCACACUGGUACUGAGACACGGACCAGACUCCUACGGGAGGCAGCAGUAAGGAAUAUUGGUCAAUGGACGGAAGUCUGAACCAGCCAUGCCGCGUGCAGGAGGACGGCCCUAUGGGUUGUAAACUGCUUUUAUACGGGAACAAACGUCGGUACGUGUACCGGUCUGAGUGUACCGUAAGAAUAAGGAUCGGCUAACUCCGUG
RNAcentral lists this ribosomal RNA (490 nucleotides) under uncultured bacterium. Its description in RNAcentral is "partial 16S ribosomal RNA". It matches the Rfam family "Bacterial small subunit ribosomal RNA", at positions 28 to 507 of the family's 1533-position model. The record is from RNAcentral.